GAUGAACGCUGGCGGCGUGCCUAAUACAUGCAAGUCGAGCGAACAGACGAGGAGCUUGCUCCUCUGACGUUAGCGGCGGACGGGUGAGUAACACGUGGAUAACCUACCUAUAAGACUGGGAUAACUUCGGGAAACCGGAGCUAAUACCGGAUAAUCUAUUGAACCGCAUGGUUCAAUAGUGAAAUACGGUUUUGCUGUCACUUCUCGCUGGAUCCGCGCUGCAUUAGCUAGUUGGUAAGGUAACGGCUUACCACGGCAACGCUGCGUAGCCGACCGGAGAGGGUGAUCGGCGACAUGGGAACGUGGACACGGACCAGAGUCCUACGGGAGGCAGCAGUAGGGUAUCGGAGGCAAUGGGCGAAAGCAUGACGGAGCAAGGGCGCGUGAGAGAUGAAGGUCUUCGGAGCGUAAAACUCUGUUAUGAGGGAAGAACAGAUGUGUAAGGAACUAUGCACGUAGUGACGGUAACUAAUAAGAAAGCCACGGCUAACUACGUG
This 497-nucleotide ribosomal RNA is filed under the name uncultured bacterium. Its description in RNAcentral is "partial 16S ribosomal RNA". It matches the Rfam family "Bacterial small subunit ribosomal RNA", at positions 28 to 507 of the family's 1533-position model. The record is from RNAcentral.